This 418-nucleotide ribosomal RNA is filed under the name uncultured fungus. Its description in RNAcentral is "eukaryotic LSU rRNA". The stretch from base 1 to 125 matches the Rfam family "5.8S ribosomal RNA", at positions 30 to 154 of the family's 154-position model. Lineage: Eukaryota; Fungi. The record is from RNAcentral.
GCAUCGAUGAAGAACGCAGCGAAACGCGAUAGGUAAUGUGAAUUGCAGAAUUCCGUGAAUCAUCGAAUCUUUGAACGCACCUUGCGCUCCAUGGCAUUCCGUGGAGCAUGCCUGUUUGAGUGCCGCGAAAUCUCCCACCCCUAGCGGUUGCCGCAAGGCGCCGCCGGGCGGCGGGGUUGGUUGGGUGCCGCUGCCUGGGCUUUGGCCCAGGCUCGCCCGAAAUGCAUGAGCGCUUAGCACUCGCACCGUCUCGAGGGAAGGCGGCGGAGCUGGCAUCUGCGCAUGGCAUGACACGUCAUUUGCUGUGUGGCAGCCCAGCGACCCGAGAGUGUGUGUGCGCUACUACACGCCCUUUCAUUUCUGGUCUCAAAUCAGGUAGGAUCACCCGCUGAACUUAAGCAUAUCAAUAAGCGGAGGA